CGAACGCUGGCGGCAGGCCUAACACAUGCAAGUCGAACGAACUCUUCGGAGUUAGUGGCGGACGGGUGAGUAACACGUGGGAACGUGCCUUUUGGUUCGGAAUAACUCAGGGAAACUUGUGCUAAUACCGAAUGUGCCCUUCGGGGGAAAGAUUUAUCGCCAUUAGAGCGGCCCGCGUCUGAUUAGCUAGUUGGUGAGGUAACGGCUCACCAAGGCGACGAUCAGUAGCUGGUCUGAGAGGAUGACCAGCCACACUGGGACUGAGACACGGCCCAGACUCCUACGGGAGGCAGCAGUGGGGAAUCUUGCGCAAUGGGCGAAAGCUUGACGCAGCCAUGCCGCGUGAAUGAUGAAGGUCUUAGGAUUGUAAAAUUCUUUCACCGGGGACGAUAAUGACGGUACCCGGAGAAGAAGCCCCGGCUAACUUCGUG
This 431-nucleotide ribosomal RNA is filed under the name uncultured bacterium. RNAcentral's name for it is "partial 16S ribosomal RNA". It matches the Rfam family "Bacterial small subunit ribosomal RNA", at positions 30 to 507 of the family's 1533-position model. The record is from RNAcentral.